This 248-nucleotide ribosomal RNA is filed under the name uncultured bacterium. RNAcentral describes it as "partial 16S ribosomal RNA". It matches the Rfam family "Bacterial small subunit ribosomal RNA", at positions 107 to 354 of the family's 1533-position model. The record is from RNAcentral.
UGAGUAACGCGUGAGGAACCUGCCUUCCAGAGGGGGACGAACAGUUGGAAACGACUGCUAAUACCGCAUGACACAUGACCGUGGCAUCACGGACAUGUCAAAGAUUUAUCGCUGGAAGAUGGCCUCGCGUCUGAUUAGCUGGUAGGCGGGGUAACGGCCCACCUAGGCGACGAUCAGUAGCCGGACUGAGAGGUUGACCGGCCACAUUGGGACUGAGAUACGGCCCAGACUCCUACGGGAGGCAGCAG